RNAcentral lists this unclassified non-coding RNA (4282 nucleotides) under Hevea brasiliensis (rubber tree). The record is from RNAcentral. Lineage: Eukaryota; Viridiplantae; Streptophyta; Magnoliopsida; Malpighiales; Euphorbiaceae.
GGGAAGGUUUUAUGCGCACUUUUCAUAAUGAAAAUGAAGUGAAAUCUUAAUUUUUGAAGGUAUAGGGUCAAACAACCCUUUAGAAAUAGAAUCCUCCGAAUUGGUUGAUUCGUAUCGAUUCACCCAAUUCACUAUCGAAUCGUAAGAUUCGGUUACGAUUUAAGUACAUUUGCGAUUCACCCCAGAGAUUUGAAUCACUAAGAUGAGGAAUUGAAUUGAAUCGAGAAUUGUAAGAUUCUAACAAAAGUUUCUAAAAGAACAAUUCAUUUCUGUCUAAGAGAAAUCAUGGAAAUGCAAAAGUUAAUGUUAGUAAUAAUAUCGAUGCCCCGAUAAGCAGCUAUUCACCUUUUAUUUCACACUGCCUGGAGCUCCAUUGCUUCACUUUGUUCAUGAACCAGUUAACAUUUAUUUGACAUUACACAUUGUGGCUGUAAUGUCUUCUGUAUUCUUGUGGUUUACUGGUCAGAAUACUGGAGCUAGCUGCUGUCAUAUUUCUCUAGAACCCAUUAAUAGGGACGUUUCAAAUCCAAAUAGUUCUGGUCAUUUCUCCUGUGGGCAAGGAUUCAAACCACUCUAUUACUGCCACCCUCUUUGUUCCUAUAACAGCAAAGCACCUCUGCGAUACACAACUUAAUUGACAUGACCAAGGAAUGAUGUUUACCUGCAAGUACAAAUUUGAUUUACGUUUUAACUGUAACAGAGAAAAAUUAUCCUUAUGAGCUAUGGUUCUUUCAAUUGUUUUUCUUACUGUGGAAAUGAUAAUACAUCAGAAUCUGGACUCUGGGAGAUGCUUACCAAGGGGACUCGUUCACUACUGGUAGAGCCAGUGAUUCAAGGUAUAGGUCGAAGUACCAAUGAGAUGGAAAAGACUGAAGAUUUUGUCUUGCUGGCUUCAAGUAUUGGGUAUGCAUAUAAUGAUAAGGAUAGAGCCUGGAUAAGAGCAGUGGCAAACAAAUUUGCAGGUGAGAACAUAAGUUUAGGAUUGUAACAAAUUUGCAACUCAAUUUUGAUGUAUAUUGUAUAAAUUCAAUCGUCAGUAUCUAGAGAAAGGUCUGUUUUUAUUAUGUCCCUAUUCGUGCAUGCUAGUGUUAAUGCUUGGUUGUGCAGGUUCCCAUUGAAAAUGGCUUUUACUUUUCCUAGUUUGAUUUACUGUUAGCUGCUCUUGAAAAUAUUAAAUUUCAGGGCAAAUCACUGUGGCAAAUUUGUUCUUUUUUAAAUUUUAUUAUUUUUUUAAAAUUUUACCUUGAAGUCAGCUUGAAAACAACUAUUUGCAUUUCCUUCACCAGAAGGGCAAGUGAAUUAAGUCUCUCUUUGAAGUCAUCGUGCUUGAAAUUCUACUUCCUGAAAAGGAUGUAAACGUACUAAACAAGCCCAAGUUGUUUUUUUUGGGUAAUGUCAUGAGAAGAAAGAAGUAGUUUUGUUUGCUUCUUAGUAUCUUUGCAGCUCCGUUGAUCGGAUAUCAUGGGGAAUGUUUUUGGAACUUUUAUGUCUACAUAAAAUGAUUGUUCAAAAAGGGGCGGAUAGGUAGCCUGCAGAUUGCAAAUAAAUGGUAGCAUCUCAAAUACUCAGUCUUGUGAUAUUGUUUAUGAAUGGGGAUAACAUUUUAAUGAUGAAAACUGAAAACUGAAAUAUAUUAUAAGAUUAGGGAGUUGCGUCUGAACUUUGAGCUGUUAAUAUUUUAACUAUAAAAUUUUGAUUGCUGCAGGUUGGAUAUAGCUUUCUUCUUCAGGGUAUAUCUGCAGUUCCAUGUGAUUGGCAAAUGAGCGAAGUGCACAAAAGAAAUUGUGGAACAGGUAGAGGCUUGACCGUGUUUUGAAGGGCCUCCUUAUGUUUAUAUCCAAAAAAAUCAAACUCCAAAACUUUGAAUUCUCCCAUAGGUUCAUUCAAUUUCAUUUUGAGGUAAAGGAAAAAUAAUUAAAUGUGAGUGUCUCUACUUAAAAGGUUUGCAACAUCUUCUUUUUUGUAAUCUGAUUUGCCACUUAAAACUUCCUUGGUCAAAUAUUUAUCUGCAUGAUUAUGUGCUUUCUUCAUUAAAUCUGACCAUGCUGUGGAUUAGGUUCCGCACUGAGAUUCAAGAACACUUGGCUUCUUACAAAAACUUUUCCAAGCCAAACACCAGAUUCUUAAGACGAAUGACCUUUCUAAUAGCCAAGAGUAGACCAGGCAUGAGGCAUUGCACAUCUGUGAUAUCAUGUUUGAUAGAGUAAACCUCUCCCGGGCCAGAGAAGUAAACUGUUGUGCUGGAGGGUAGUCCAGGUAGGACUAAGCUAUGCACCCUAACACCAUCUUCUCCCAAAACUUGGCCUCUGGCCUUACGGCAUGAAAACAAAAUGAGUGAUCUUAGUACACACUCGAAGCCUUUCUACUUCUGAUGAAUAUUUCUUUGAACCCUUAAAUGUAAGUUGGUCUUUCCAUGUCUUUCACGCAUUUAAGACAAGGCCCAAAUGGGAAGCAAUAUGUUCUUGGUUUAUCUUUUUAUGUACUUGAAAUUGAAUAAAUUUGGUUUUCACCUUCUUUCAACUCCAACAUGCUUAUGAAACAGAAAAUAAAAAUGUGCAGUCUAUAUAGUUUUGGUGUCAAUGUGGCUCUGAGAUUAUUUGAUUCAGAGCAGUGCCUGCUUACCAAAACAUCUGUUGAUAAAUCUUCCCUGUUGUAGAGCUGACCCAGAUUGGAGAGGUUCUUUGCAAUUUGGGAUGCAUCCGCUGAUGGAAGAUCCUGCGUGUAAAAGACAAUUUAACGCAUCUAAUGCUUCAUCCACAGGGUUUGCUUCAUUGUUUUUGACUAUGGGAAGAAUUGUUAAAUGUGAAGAGAAUAAGAGAUUCAUAAAUGGGCAACUUUUGUUUAUUAUAUACUUGUAUAGAUCUAUAUGUAUGGCUCAUUUAACUUACUGCUGCUUGUGCCUUUGAUUCCACAAUUUCUACGUUGUUGUAGUGGAAAGAAGCUGAAAUGGCAGCUUGCUGGAGGAGUAUAGAUCCUAUGGAUAGGGUUGGUGCAAUCAGACAACCCUAUCAUUGGAAUAGCCCAUUUUAAGUGCAACAAUUUUGGAGAAGAAAAUGUUGGGUCUUUUGAAGAAUGGAAGUGUUCACCAUAGCUAAAAACAAUAAACAAAAGCGUAAGUGAAACAAUGUCUCACCCUGUGCUCACCAUGCUGGCCUUCUCACAUAGUGCAGAAAGUGCGGCAAUUGUGUCUAGUUUAAUUCGAGGCACAUAGACAACACUUUUCAUGCCAAAUGCUGUUGCCUGUUUCACAUUGUCAUAAACUGUAGUAGGAUCAGUGAAAUCAAUGACUACCCCUGUUUCUUUCGACUGAGAUAUGGAACCUAAAACCAUAGUGAGGUCAUUCAUGAUGGGUAUUUCCAGUGGCUCUUCCAUGUCACAAAGCUACUUAAGAGAAAUAGUGAAGUGGAAAAUGGAAUUAGUAGGCAGAAAAAUGAACACUGAGUGAAAAUGAGAGAAAUAGAUAACCUUUCCAAUAUCUUCCCCUAUAAAAUGGGUAUCCACUGCACCCGCCACCUCCAUCCCUCUAGCUUUAGUCACUGCAACAACUGCAGCCAUUCCUAUUUCUUUUGCUGCUCCAAUUAUAACUACCUUAAUAUUGUUCUGAGCAGGCUGAGUUGAACAAGAGAUAAAAGGCUUAGUUUUGACAUUUUUGGAACUCUUUUGAAUCGUGAAUUGAAAAUGGUAACUUAGGGCUGCCAUGGUUUUGUUGUUCCAAGAUUUAGUGCUGUGUCUCAGAUGAAUAUGGUCUAUACCCUAAGUCGAUAAUCGUCUGUGUCUAACCACAUGCCACACUUUCUGUUUUUCCCGAUAAGGUUUUGUGGCCUUUGAAGUGCUAAGCCUUGUUUGGAGUCAAUUCUGUGACAGUGACUCGUGCACAUCAGCAUGUGCAACAGGAGACAUGGACAAAUGGGCCGGGCGGCAACUCCAGUUGGAAUUCAGUUUCCUUGGAUUUCUUUGUUUCUUUCUCCUCUAGUCAUGGGUAAAUCCGGCCACUGUUCGGUUUAAAUUCGGAAUCAAUCAAUAAUUUAUGGAUUUGAAUCAAAUCAAAAUUGUCUCGAGGAAUGGUGAUUUCUCCUUGCUUGAAAAUGUUGAACCUUGGACUCGAUUGAACUGAAAUCUAAAUCGAAGCCGAUAUCUUGUAGUCCAGUUCAGAGCCUUUGGUUCCGCGGACCAAAACUGGCCUGUGGCCGUCUAGUCAUGGCUAUUGCAUCUGAAAAAGCAUCAGGUACAACUUCAAGAUCUUUAAUGGGCUCCAAUAAGGAGGUGUCAGCUUUAUUAACAU